GGGUCAGUAGGUUGGUCGUGCCACCGGUACGUACUGGUCUCACUGAUUCCUCCUUCCUGAAGAACCGUAAUGCCAUUAAUUUGGUGUUGCGGGGAAACAGGACUGUUACUUUGAAAAAAUUAGAGCGUUUAAAGCAAGCUAACGCUUGAAUACAUUAGCAUGGAAUAAUGAAAUAGGACGACCGAUCCUAUUUUGUUGGUUUCUAGGAUUGACGUA
RNAcentral lists this ribosomal RNA (216 nucleotides) under Glomeromycotina sp. RNAcentral describes it as "partial small subunit ribosomal RNA". The stretch from base 44 to 216 matches the Rfam family "Eukaryotic small subunit ribosomal RNA", at positions 690 to 864 of the family's 1831-position model. The record is from RNAcentral. Lineage: Eukaryota; Fungi; Glomeromycota.